Molecule: ribosomal RNA, 460 nt
Filed under: uncultured bacterium
Lineage: Bacteria
Description: partial 16S ribosomal RNA
Rfam family: Bacterial small subunit ribosomal RNA
Source: RNAcentral
CCUACGGGAGGCAGCAGUGAGGAAUAUUGGUCAAUGGACGCAAGUCUGAACCAGCCAUGCCGCGUGCAGGAUGACGGCUCUCUGAGUUGUAAACUGCUUUUGUACGAGGGUAAACCCCGACACGUGUAUCCGGUUGAGAGUAUCGUACGAAUAAGGAUCGGCUAACUCCGUGCCAGCAGCCGCGGUAAUACGGAGGAUUCGAGCGUUAUCCGGAUUUAUUGGGGUUAAAGGGUGCGUAGGCGGUUUGAUAAGGUAGCAGUGAAAUGGCGGGGCUCAACCCCGAGACUGCCUCUGAUACUGUUGGACUAGAGUAGAGUAGCGGUAGGCGGAAUGUAUGGUGUAGCGGUGAAAUGCUUAGAUAUCAGGCAGAACACCGAUUGCGAAGGCAGCUUACCGGACUAUAACUGACGUUGAGGCACGAAAGCGUGGGUAGCAAACAGGAUUAGAUACCCUGGUAGUC